Culex pipiens pallens (northern house mosquito) is the source of this 521-nucleotide long non-coding RNA. RefSeq lists it as uncharacterized. The record is from RefSeq and is a predicted model, not a curated record. Lineage: Eukaryota; Metazoa; Arthropoda; Insecta; Diptera; Culicidae. The transcript has 2 exons.
UGUAUUACAGCGUACAGAUCAUCCGCGGUGAUUAAAGUCCCCGAAAAACAAAUUGCCUGGUGGUGUGCAAGGAAUAAACAAACAAUUUGGGAGAGUAGGUACUAUCAAUCAUUGGCCUUGGAUAGUGCAAUUUACAAUUAUUCAAUGGAUUUUAGUUUCAUAUUUUGUUGUUAUUCAUAAAACGUUUAAGUUGUGGGGCCGAACAUUUAUAUUUUUAUCAUUCUAUAAGUGCGACAACUGGCCAAAAGGAUUUCAGGUCAGAACGCGUUUGACGCACGUACAAGUUAGACUACCGUAAACAUUUGUAAUUAUAACUCGGGGGGACUCCAGCAACCAACUUCAACCAAACUUCGGGACUAUACACAGAAUGGUCAAACCGACGACGAGGGGAUCGAGUAAUCGACGGCCAAUCUGGAAUAGAUAAGGAAGGUCUUGCGUAGGUUCCCGGAGCUUAGAGAAUCUCCAGCGUAGACUAACCGAAGCGUCAGCAAGAGCGAGAAGUACCACGCGAGUGCUGGCUG